UGUAUAUUUGUUUUAUGCUUACAGAUAUGUUUUUCUUGACAGAGGCUCUGCAGAGGUUAGACAAAGCAGAGAAAACAUGUGCUUUACAUUUUACUGUGAUUUAUUGAGAUAUUUGUUGCCUGAUGUUCAGCAGGAAUGGAGAAAUAGAAUCAAAGGGAGAUGUUUUUGCUGUUUUUGUAAUGAUGUAAGUAAAUCUUCAAUAUUAUUUAUUUGCUUGGUUAUAUUAGGAGUGUUUCUGAGUGAGGGGGGAGGAGUCAUCAUCCAGGUAAAGUGACGUGGAUCAGUGGAUACACUUGUCUCCCCUUUAAAGGAGACGAUCCAAGUCAUCCUUAAAUAUGGGCAGCAUAUCAGUCUUGGACUGUCUAACCUGCAGCACUGAAUGACCACCACACAUGAGCAUGUUCCUGCAACAUUCAGCAUCUGAUCCUUCAUCUGUGUGCUUCUGCUUUUGUGUCACAUGUCAAACAGCUGGAGAGGAAACUACACCAGUGUACUGGGAUGUUUCAGCAACACGUGCCAGAUGCUGUUCCUUCAUGGUGACAUCACCAGAGACAGCCCCGCCCACCUCAGGACCUCGCCAUUGAUCAUGAUGAUUAUAAUGAUGACAGCGAGCGGAACUAAGACUGUAAAAAUCCAUGACCAGAAUGUUUAGAUGCUUUCUAAUUAUUAA
This is a long non-coding RNA of Haplochromis burtoni (Burton's mouthbrooder), 670 nucleotides long. RefSeq lists it as uncharacterized. Lineage: Eukaryota; Metazoa; Chordata; Actinopteri; Cichliformes; Cichlidae. The transcript is spliced from 3 exons. The record is from RefSeq and is a predicted model, not a curated record.